This 253-nucleotide ribosomal RNA is filed under the name uncultured bacterium. RNAcentral's name for it is "partial 16S ribosomal RNA". It matches the Rfam family "Bacterial small subunit ribosomal RNA", at positions 524 to 776 of the family's 1533-position model. The record is from RNAcentral.
UACGUAGGGUGCGAGCGUUGUCCGGAAUUACUGGGCGUAAAGAGCUCGUAGGUGGUUUGUCGCGUUGUUCGUGAAAACUCACAACUCAAUUGUGGGCGUGCGGGCGAUACGGGCAGACUGGAGUACUGCAGGGGAGACUGGAAUUCCUGGUGUAGCGGUGAAAUGCGUUGAUAUCGGAAGGAACGCCGGUGGCGAAAGCGAGCUGCUGGCCCUCUUCUGACGCUGAGGCGCGAAAGCCAGGGGAGCGAACGGG